AUCCAAAUGAUGAGUCCUAAAUAGGACGAAACACUCAUCCUGUAU
This 45-nucleotide non-coding RNA is filed under the name Schistosoma margrebowiei. The record is from RNAcentral. Lineage: Eukaryota; Metazoa; Platyhelminthes; Trematoda; Strigeidida; Schistosomatidae.